This 202-nucleotide long non-coding RNA is filed under the name Hordeum vulgare. Its description in RNAcentral is "long non-coding RNA (HVUL_LNC012952)". The record is from RNAcentral. Lineage: Eukaryota; Viridiplantae; Streptophyta; Magnoliopsida; Poales; Poaceae.
UGGUGUGUUGGGGUGCCUCUUUGUCCCUGCCGAGAGGGUGCUCCGUUGCCAUGUUCCUUUGUCCCGUGGCCUUAGGCCUAUGGCACCGCGGCCACCCCUUCGCCGGUGGUGCGUUUCCCUUAGCGGAAGCGCACCGCCGUCGAACGGCGUGCUUGCGGUGCCCUUUUCUUUUUUCCUUUGGCCUAUGCCGUGUCUUUGCAUG